AACGAACGCUGGCGGCAGGCCUAACACAUGCAAGUCGAGCGCCCCGCAAGGGGAGCAGCGGACGGGUGAGUAACGCGUGGGAACGUACCCCUUUCUACGGAAUAGCCUCGGGAAACUGGGAGUAAUACCGUAUAAGCCCUACGGGGGAAAGAUUUAUCGGGAAGGGAUCGGCCCGCGUUGGAUUAGGUAGUUGGUGGGGUAAUGGCCUACCAAGCCGACGAUCCAUAGCUGGUUUGAGAGGAUGAUCAGCCACACUGGGACUGAGAUACGGCCCAGACUCCUACGGGAGGCAGCAGUGGGGAAUCUUGCACAAUGGAGGAAACUCUGAUGCAGCGAUGCCGCGUGAGUGAAGAAGGCCUUUGGGUUGUAAAGCUCUUUUGUAGGGGAAGAUAAUGACUGUACCCUAAGAAUAAGGUCCGGCUAACUUCGUG
RNAcentral lists this ribosomal RNA (431 nucleotides) under uncultured bacterium. RNAcentral describes it as "bacterial SSU rRNA". It matches the Rfam family "Bacterial small subunit ribosomal RNA", at positions 29 to 507 of the family's 1533-position model. The record is from RNAcentral.